RNAcentral lists this ribosomal RNA (253 nucleotides) under uncultured Aquicella sp. RNAcentral's name for it is "partial 16S ribosomal RNA". It matches the Rfam family "Bacterial small subunit ribosomal RNA", at positions 524 to 776 of the family's 1533-position model. The record is from RNAcentral. Lineage: Bacteria; Pseudomonadati; Pseudomonadota; Gammaproteobacteria; Legionellales; Coxiellaceae.
UACAGAGGGUGCGAGCGUUAAUCGAAAUUACUGGGCGUAAAGGGCGCGUAGGCGGUGAGAUGUGUGGGAUGUGAAAGCCCUGGGCUUAACCUGGGAAGUGCAUACCAAACUAUCUUACUGGAGUAGAGCAGAGGGUGGCGGAAUUUCCGGUGUAGCGGUGAAAUGCGUAGAGAUCGGAAGGAACGUCAAUGGCGAAGGCAGCCACCUGGGCUCAUACUGACGCUGAGGCGCGAAAGCGUGGGGAGCGAACAGG